GUGCUCACUUUGGCAGCACAUAUACUAAAAUUGGAAUGAUACAGAGAAGAUUAGCAUGGCAUCCUGCACAAGUAAUCCUUGUGAAUUCAUGAAGCAGUCCAUAUAUUU
This is a small nuclear RNA of Prolemur simus (greater bamboo lemur), 108 nucleotides long. NCBI's taxonomy places the organism in Eukaryota, Metazoa, Chordata, Mammalia, Primates, Lemuridae. The record is from Ensembl.